UCGUUUUGGGAUGAGCUUGCGUACUAUCAGCUUGUUGGUAGGGUAACGGCCUACCAAGGCGAUGACGGUUAGGGGGUGUGAGAGCAUGACCCCCAGCAUUGGCACUGAGACACUGGCCAAACACCUACGGGUGGCUGCAGUCAAGAACCUUCCACAAUGGGCGAAAGCCUGAUGGAGCGACGCUGCGUGCGGGAUGAAGGCCUUCGGGUUGUAAACCGCUUUUGUAGGGGAAGAAUCCGCCUUUGGCGGAUGACGGUACCCUUUCGAAUAAGAGGUUGCUAACUCUGUGCCAGCAGCAGCGGUAAUACAGAGACCUCGAGCGUUGUCCGGAUUUACUGGGCGUAAAGCGUCUGUAGGGGGCUUGUUAAGUCUUAAGUUAAAUCUUAAAGCUCAACUUUAAGUUCGCUUAAGAAACUAAUAAGCUAGAGCAUAGCAGAGGCGCAUGGAACUUGCGGUGUAGGAGUGAAAUCCUUUGACAUCGCAAGGAAUACCAAAGGCGAAGGCAUUGCGCUGGGCUAUUGCUGACCCUGAGAGACGAAAGCGUGGGGAGCAAAACGGAUUAGAUACCCGUGUAGUCACGCCGUAAACGAUGAAUACUAGAUGUCCGGGGUUUCGACCCCCUGGGUGUCGCAGCUAACGCGUUAAGUAUUCCGCCUGGGAAGUACGGCCGCAAGGCUAAAACUCAAAGGAAUAGACGGGGAUCCGCACAAGCGGUGGAGCGUCUGGUUUAAUUCGAUAGUAAGCGAAGAACCUCACCAAGACUUGACAUCCCGCGACAGCAUUGGAAACAAGGUUUCCUUCGGGCGCGGUGACAGGUGCUGCAUGGUCGUCGUCAGUUCGUGCCGUGAGGUGUUCCGUUAAGUCGGGAAACGAACGAAACCCCUUUUGUAUGUUAUAUUUUUCAUACGAUACUGCCCGGGUCAACUGGGAGGAAGGUGGGGAUGAAGUCAGAUCAGCAUGGUCCUUAUGUCUUGGGCUACACAGGCGCUACAAUGGCCGAUACAAUGGGUUGCCAAAUCGCGAGAUGGAGCUAAUCCCAAAAAGUCGGUCCCAGUUCGGAUUGGAGGCUGCAAUUCGCCUCCAUGAAGCCGGA
RNAcentral lists this ribosomal RNA (1093 nucleotides) under uncultured organism. RNAcentral describes it as "bacterial SSU rRNA". It matches the Rfam family "Bacterial small subunit ribosomal RNA", at positions 215 to 1330 of the family's 1533-position model. The record is from RNAcentral.